AAGUGAUGGGGUAUAACUUGUGAUGACAUUAUGUGUAAUUGUACUUUGCACCUUACUAUCUGAUACUGUGUUUGACUUCCUGCAUUUCUGGCUUUGGUGAAACAAACUGCCUUGUGGCAAGCGGCCUCAUGGAGAAGUCUAAAGAGCAGGACUUUUCUCAUAGCUAGCAAGAAACUAAACUCUAAUGAUGGUCAUGUAAACUUGGAAGGAGACGUUCCCUCAGUCAAGCCCUGAGGUGCGACUGCUUCCCCAGCAGCCAUAGGAGAAGCCCUGAUCAGUGUCCCCAGCUGGGCCACCCCUGGAUGCUAACCCACAGAAAUUGACAGAUAAUAAAUGCAUGUGUGUCUGUGUGUCUAUAAGCCACCAAGUUUGUGGUACUGUAGCACAUAUCAACAGAUAACUAACAUGAUCCUCCUUUGUGCCAUUUCAAAAGUCACUGGGAAUGUCCUCUUUUUUAUAUUGAUAAGUUGAAGUUCUUAGGUUUUGUAAAAUCUCCCAAAAAUCUAAGGAAAGAAUUCUGUGAGAAAUAGUAUGGAGUUCUUUAGAUGAUAAUUAAAUUUCUUAACAUAUAAUAUAAAACUUUCAUAAGUUGAACUUCAGGAAAUAAUUGCCCAUAACUACAUAAAAUUAUAUAAACAAAGAUAUUUUGAACAUUUUUCCCCAAAAUAUCUUACUAAUAUCUAAAAAGCAUUAGGCAAAAAGCUAUAUACAAAUGAAGACACUGAUUACCAUUUUAAUUCAUGUGGCUUAUCCACCCGAGUAUAAAUUCUAGAUCCAUCAUGUACCACUCAUAUGACCUUUGAUAACUUACUUUCCUCUUGGAGGGUACAAUAAUUAAGUUUAGCUACUUUAUUGUAUUAUGGUGAAGGA
This 870-nucleotide long non-coding RNA is filed under the name Marmota monax (woodchuck). The record is from RNAcentral. Lineage: Eukaryota; Metazoa; Chordata; Mammalia; Rodentia; Sciuridae.